Molecule: non-coding RNA, 176 nt
Filed under: Propionispora sp. 2/2-37
Lineage: Bacteria; Bacillati; Bacillota; Negativicutes; Selenomonadales; Sporomusaceae
Description: 6S / SsrS RNA
Rfam family: 6S / SsrS RNA
About the family: E. coli 6S RNA was the first non coding RNA to be sequenced, but its function was unknown until recently. It consists of 184 nucleotides that fold into an extended hairpin structure with a large single-stranded internal bulge. The 6S RNA specifically associates with RNA polymerase holoenzyme containing the sigma70 specificity factor.
Source: Rfam by way of RNAcentral
AAAACCCUGCUAUGUUCGUGGGGGCCGAUGUUUUGAGCCAACAUCUUAAUUAAGGGAGCCUGACUCUGGUUAUGGCGUGUAGGCCUUUUUUAAGGAAACAUAAAGUAAGCAGGAGGGUACCCACCUGCUGGGGCAGGUUCAAAACAACGGUGAUGGUACGGCAUGGUGGGGAGGAG